RNAcentral lists this ribosomal RNA (60 nucleotides) under Cytobacillus firmus. RNAcentral describes it as "partial 23S ribosomal RNA". Lineage: Bacteria; Bacillati; Bacillota; Bacilli; Caryophanales; Bacillaceae. The record is from RNAcentral.
GGUGGAAGCGUGGCGACAUGUGGAGCUGACUGAUACUAAUCGAUCGAGGACUUAACCAAG